GAGAGGGAGAGGGAGAGGGAGAGUCCCUUGCUGACUACUGCCCCAUUAACUCUUUUUUUACAGGGCCUGGGCAACUUCAGCAUUCACAGCAUUGAAGUGGACACAGGAGGUUUCUCCAUGGAAGUGGUGGGAUGUGAUCCUAACAGCAGCGCUCACCCUGGAGAGGACAUGGCCAUGUGAAGGCCUUUAGCCCUCAGCCAUUGCUGGGGGACAUCUGGGACAGAGGAGGUGGCUGCCAUCCAAAUCAGGAAGAUCCCCAUGUCUCAGCUCCCUGCUGCUGCAGCCAGGGCUGCUCAUGGAUUCUCCUUGCUGUGUGCCUCAGCCCCAUGACACACUUGGUCCAGCGCUGCAGAACACAGCCAGGUCUCAGCAGCAGCCCAGCAGAGCUGAGGAUGCCACUCGUGGAGCCUGGCAGCUGGCUCCAGCAGCAGUGGCCCGUGCUGCCCUUCAGUGUGCAAUGCUCCAGCCCUGGAUGUGGAAUCACCUCCCCCUCCUGUGCUGAGAAGUUAUUUCUGCAGCGAGUUACCAGUCCCUGCGGGCACUUUGAAUAAAAGAGCUUGUUCCCAGCA
Non-coding RNA from Meleagris gallopavo (turkey), 569 nucleotides. The record is from RefSeq and is a predicted model, not a curated record. Lineage: Eukaryota; Metazoa; Chordata; Aves; Galliformes; Phasianidae.